AUCAUCUCUAUCCUCUUUUCACAGGUUUCGAUUCUAUUGUUCCCUUUUUUAAUUUCCAAUUGCAAACUUUAAUCCUUUUGCAUUUUAUUUAUUUUUAAUAAUUCGUCUGUAUUUGAGCAUUGGAUUAUCUAUUUAUUCUUUACUUCUACUGGCUUUCUCUUUUGCUGUUUUCAUUUCUAAUACAAUAACUUCAUUUUUUUUAAUAAUCAGAAGUCGUAUUGGGGUCAAUUUUAUGCGAAUUUUUGCUCAGUAUAAGUACCUUUUGUUUAAUAGUUUUGCUACCACAAAUUUAUCAGUUCAGAU
RNAcentral lists this unclassified non-coding RNA (303 nucleotides) under Hevea brasiliensis (rubber tree). The record is from RNAcentral. Lineage: Eukaryota; Viridiplantae; Streptophyta; Magnoliopsida; Malpighiales; Euphorbiaceae.